UGCUACCUACGGGGCGCAGCAGCCGCGGUAAUACGUAGGUGGCGAGCGUUGUCCGGAUUUACUGGGCGUAAAGGGAGCGUAGGCGGAUUUUUAAGUGAGAUGUGAAAUACUCGGGCUCAACUUGAGUGCUGCAUUUCAAACUGGAAGUCUAGAGUGCAGGAGAGGAGAAUGGAAUUCCUAGUGUAGCGGUGAAAUGCGUAGAGAUUAGGAAGAACACCAGUGGCGAAGGCGAUUCUCUGGACUGUAACUGACGCUGAGGCUCGAAAGCGUGGGGAGCAAACAGGAUUAGAAACCCGAGUAGUCCG
RNAcentral lists this ribosomal RNA (305 nucleotides) under uncultured bacterium. Its description in RNAcentral is "bacterial SSU rRNA". It matches the Rfam family "Bacterial small subunit ribosomal RNA", at positions 495 to 797 of the family's 1533-position model. The record is from RNAcentral.